UAGAGACAGAGUUUUGCUACAUUGCUCAGGCUGAUCUCUCCUCUUGGGCUCAAGUGAUCUGCCAGCCUUGGCCUCCUGAAGUGCUGGGAUUAUAGGCAUGAGCCACCAUGCCCGGCCCAAUAUCAACAUUCUGAACAUCAGCCUUUGUACUGAGUGAUAAUACAGCAACGCUGUCAAGGCCCACUGGGAGAACAAAGAGAGGUGGAUCCCAGGAGGCAGCCAGGGGAUGCAAGGAGCCAACAUGCCAUCAGAGAGGGGUGAAGAGAUAAGGUCCCAAGGAAAGCUAUUGGAAAGCUUUCUACCAAAAGGGAGAUCAAGGACCACAGAGCACAUCCUGAAAGACAAGUCAUCCUCAGUGAGUGCCUUAUCAAGCUUAUUACUUCAUGGUGACAAGAGGGCUGCACUUGAUCCAACAUCAAUUUUGGAUUCCAGUAAGCAAGAAGAAGAAGACAAAUGAGAAAAAGAUAUAAGCCAGCAAACCUUCCAAGAGCAAAGGGGACACUUUCCCUUCACCCCUGCAGAAGACGUCUCCGAGGAAGUGAAACAUUGGUGGAUAUAUGAUAGAAAUCAUCAUGGUAAAGAAAGUAUUACAGUAAGACUGAAAACCAACCAUUUUGCCCAAGGGACAGACCCUCAGCUGUGACUCUGCACCUGAUCUCUGUGGCUUUGCUGAAAUGUAGCUUUAACCCUGGAGUACCCUAAAGGUGAGCACCAGCGCGAUGGAGAGGUGAGAGCACAGACUUUGGCUGUUGGCCUCAGUUUCUUCCUCUGCAGUUUGGUGUGAAGCUCAGAGAUGGUGCAUGGAGCCCCCAGAGAUAGUAGCUGGCACCUGGAGACCCAUGCCCUGCUUGGGCCACACCUCUGCUGGUGCAGGGAAACCUGGGCAACCCGAGGUGGACAGACCAGUUCUACUGGAAGCUGGUCCCCAUCACCUGUACUUUUCCCACAAAAGACUCCCUUCCUUAUCCCCUUCCUCACUCACCCACAAAAGAACCCUUUCCUUAUCCAUGACCUGUACUUUACCCACAAGAAACCCCCUUCCUUACCCACUCCCUUCCUUACUCAAUCUGGCAGGGCUCAGAUUGCAAUAAAGAAGGGUCAGUAAUCCACAAAUCCAAAUAUUCAGUUUCCUGGCAGACGUAGAAUCAUUCAUAUUCUUGAAUCAAAAGGAUCUGUUCACGAUUAGAAAAAAAAAUUCAUCUAACUGCGUUUUUCAUUAAUAGAAACUGCAUAUAGAAAUCCUCUAGAACAACAUCAUACACCAUGGAGUUGACAAUUCAUCAUGCUCUAUUCUAGGCUCGGCUUCAGCAUAUUUGAAAUCAGCUAGGAGGCUUCUGUUGAUACAAAAUACAGUAUUUGUAGACUGAUCUAGUCCUGCAGCAGGUGGUAAAGAAGUAUGAACUGAAACUGCCAUAUGGCGGUGUGAAGGAAAUGUUUCUCUCCAGAGAAAUACUUGAAAGUGUCAUAAAAACAGUAAAAACAUUUAACAGCUCAAAAGGCUUAAAUUCAGUAUGUACAGAAACUGUGUCAACUUUGGAGUCAGGCUGCUUUCAUUAAAAUCUCAGCAGAUAGAUGAUAACUUUCACUCGCGUCCAUGUGAAGAGACCACUAAACAGGCUUUGUGUGAGCAAUAAAGCUUUUAAUCACCUGGGU
This 1653-nucleotide long non-coding RNA is filed under the name Homo sapiens (human). RNAcentral's name for it is "HSALNT0160169". The record is from RNAcentral. Lineage: Eukaryota; Metazoa; Chordata; Mammalia; Primates; Hominidae.